Molecule: ribosomal RNA, 450 nt
Filed under: Toxopus fisheri
Lineage: Eukaryota; Metazoa; Arthropoda; Insecta; Hemiptera; Reduviidae
Description: partial 16S ribosomal RNA
Rfam family: Bacterial large subunit ribosomal RNA
Source: RNAcentral
CUGUGCUAAGGUAGCAUAAUCAAUUGUCUUUUAAUUGUGGGCUAGUAUGAAAGGUUGCACGAAACAUCUACUUUCUUUUAAUUAUUUAAUGAAUUUAAUUUUUAAGUUAAAAAGCUUAAAUAUUUUUGAGGGACGAGAAGACCCUAUAGAUCUUUAUAUAUAAUAAGAUUGAUUUUUUUUGUUUAUAAUUGUAUUAUCAAUUUUAUAAUUAUUUCAUUGGGGUGAUAGGAGAAUUAUAAUAACUUCUCUUUAAUUGUUUCAUAUAUGUAUGUUUUUUUGAUCCAUUGUGAAUGAUUAUAAGAUUAAGUUACCUUAGGGAUAACAGCGUAAUUUUUUUGGAGAGUUCUUAUUGAUAAAGAAGUUUGCGACCUCGAUGUUGGAUUAAAAUAAGUUAUAAGUGCAGGAGCUUAUUUACUGGGUCUGUUCGACCUUUAAAUUUUUACAUGAUCU